Molecule: ribosomal RNA, 907 nt
Filed under: bacterium HKG189
Lineage: Bacteria
Description: bacterial SSU rRNA
Rfam family: Bacterial small subunit ribosomal RNA
Source: RNAcentral
GGGGGAGCAGUGUUCUCGGGCGGUCUUUUAAUUCGGAUGGGAAUCCCCCGGGCUUAACCUAAGCGGUCCAUUGGAAAUGGGGGGAUUUGGGGGCAGGAAGAGGGAAGGGGAAUUCCACGUGUAGCCGUAAAAUUGGUAGAGAUUUGGAAGAGACACCCCGUGUGGAAGGCGGCUUUUUGGUCUGGAAAUGACGGUGAGGCGCGAAAGCGUGGGGAACAAACAGGAUUUGAUACCCUGGUAGUGCACGCGCUGAACGAUGAGUGCUAAGUGUGUGAGGGUUUUCACCCUUCAGUGCUGCAGAUAACGCAUUAAGCACUCCGCCUGGGGAGUGCGGUCGCAAGACUGAAACUCAAAGGAAUUGACGGGGGCCCGCACAAGCGGUGGAGCACGUGGUUUAAUUUGAAGCAACGCGAAGAACCCUACCAGGUCUUGACAUAUCCUGACCACCCUGGAGACAGGGUUUUCCCUUUGGGGACAGGAUGACAGGUGGUGCAUGGUUGUUGUCAGCUUGUGUCGUGAGAUGUUGGGUUAAGUCCCGCAACGAGCGCAACCCUUGAUUCUAGUUGCCAGCAUUCAGUUGGGCACUUUAGAGUGACUGCCGGCGACAAGUCGGAGGAAGGUGGGGAUGACGUCAAAUCAUCAUGCCCCUUAUGACCUGGGCUACACACGUGCUACAAUGGAUGGUACAAAGGGUUGCAAAGCCGCGAGGCUAAGCUAAUCCCAUAAAACCAUUCUCAGUUCGGAUUGCAGGCUGCAACUCGCCUGCAUGAAGCCGGAAUCGCUAGUAAUCGCGGAUCAGCAUGCCGCGGUGAAUACGUUCCCGGGCCUUGUACACACCGCCCGUCACACCACGAGAGUUUGUAACACCCGAAGUCGGUGGGGUAACCUUUUGGGGCCAGCCGCCGAA